UCCUUGUUAGUAUAGUGGUGAGUAUCCUCACCUGUCAUGCUGGAGACCAGGGUUCGAUUCCCUGACAGGGAG
This 72-nucleotide transfer RNA is filed under the name Echinops telfairi (small Madagascar hedgehog). Its description in RNAcentral is "tRNA-Asp (GTC) (tRNA-Asp-GTC-5-1)". It matches the Rfam family "tRNA". From Rfam's summary of the family: Transfer RNA (tRNA) molecules are approximately 80 nucleotides in length. Their secondary structure includes four short double-helical elements and three loops (D, anti-codon, and T loops). The record is from RNAcentral. Lineage: Eukaryota; Metazoa; Chordata; Mammalia; Afrosoricida; Tenrecidae.